RNAcentral lists this ribosomal RNA (504 nucleotides) under uncultured bacterium. Its description in RNAcentral is "partial 16S ribosomal RNA". It matches the Rfam family "Bacterial small subunit ribosomal RNA", at positions 28 to 523 of the family's 1533-position model. The record is from RNAcentral.
GAUGAACGCUAGCGGCAGGCCUAAUACAUGCAAGUCGAACGGGAUCUGAGGGUAGCUUGCUACCCGAUUUGAGAGUGGCGCACGGGUGCGUAACGCGUGAGCAGCCUACCCAUAUCAGGGGGAUAGCCCGAAGAAAUUCGGAUUAACACCGCAUAAUAAUACGCUAACACAUGUUGAUGUAUUUAAAUAUUUAUAGGAUAUGGAUGGGCUCGCGUGAAAUUAGCUAGUUGGUAAGGUAACGGCUUACCAAGGCGACGAUGUCUAGGGGCUCUGAGAGGAGAAUCCCCCACACUGGUACUGAGACACGGACCAGACUCCUACGGGAGGCAGCAGUAAGGAAUAUUGGUCAAUGGGCGCAAGCCUGAACCAGCCAUGCCGCGUGCAGGAUGACUGCCCUAUGGGUUGUAAACUGCUUUUGUUAGGGAAUAAACCUUCUUACGUGUAAGGAGCUGAAUGUACCUAAAGAAUAAGGAUCGGCUAACUCCGUGCCAGCAGCCGCCGUAA